GACGAACGCUGGCGGCGUGCUUAACACAUGCAAGUCGAACGGAAAGGCCCUGCUUUUGUGGGGUGCUCGAGUGGCGAACGGGUGAGUAACACGUGAGUAACCUGCCCUGGACUUUGGGAUAACUUCAGGAAACUGGGGCUAAUACCGGAUAGGAGCUCCGGCUGCAUGGUGGUGGUGGGAGAGUUUCGGCGGUUGGGGAUGGACUCGCGGCCUAUCAGCUUGUUGGUGGGGUAGUGGCUUACCAAGGCUUUGACGGGUAGCCGGCCUGAGAGGGUGACCGGCCACAUUGGGACUGAGAUACGGCCCAGACUCCUACGGGAGGCAGCAGUGGGGAAUAUUGCACAAUGGGCGGAAGCCUGAUGCAGCAACGCCGCGUGCGGGAUGACGGCCUUCGGGUUGUAAACCGCUUUCGCCUGUGACGAAGCGCGAGUGACGGUACUGGGUAAAGAAGCACCGGCUAACUACGUG
This 468-nucleotide ribosomal RNA is filed under the name uncultured bacterium. Its description in RNAcentral is "partial 16S ribosomal RNA". It matches the Rfam family "Bacterial small subunit ribosomal RNA", at positions 28 to 507 of the family's 1533-position model. The record is from RNAcentral.